This 5766-nucleotide long non-coding RNA is filed under the name Triticum aestivum (bread wheat). RNAcentral describes it as "long non-coding RNA (TAES_LNC025959)". Lineage: Eukaryota; Viridiplantae; Streptophyta; Magnoliopsida; Poales; Poaceae. The record is from RNAcentral.
UCACGGCGAUUUCUCCUGUGAAAGCCACUCGGGUGCCCAAUACUCUUAGACAAGUAUUCAGGCGCCGUCUGAUCCUCUCUGACAAUAAGUAUGUAAUCUGAUCUGUUAUAUUUGACCGUCGUUCUCUUUUUCCUGUUGUCCAUUUUAUUAAAAAAGCUUAUAUUGAAUCCUCUUCUGCCAUUUUAUUCUCAUCUUACAUUAGUGGCCACGAACUUGGAAUAACCCUUUGGGGUGAGAGUGCUAUUCGAUUUAAUGGAGAGAGUGUGCAUUUCAUGGGUCAAAUAGACCCGGCUAUCGUUAUCUUUGUCGGCACCACCGUUUGUAUGUAUGAAGGUGACUAGGAAACAACCCGAUGAAUGUGCUUGCUUGUUUCCCGCUGCCUUCGAUUUAUUUAAUGGUAUUAUUAUUUGUCAUGAGCUAGGGUCCAAGGAAUUAUCUGGUGGAUGUGCUUGCAAAUGAUAUGUUAACCAUGAUAUACCAGAGAUAAACAUAUUUAGGAGCAGGUGAGGGCCACGGUCUAUUCAUACGGCGUUUGUUUUCUCUAUUUUGUACUCAAGUAUUGUAUUCUCUCUGCUUCUUAGGCUCUCAGUCAUCUUCCCUGCCAUUGAGCAUCUUCCUGCACCGUCGAAGAUUAUUCUCCAGGUCCAACAUGCCGAUGUGCAUCCAAUGGUGUUAUUGACCCACCUCAUAAACAUCAACUUAUAUCAAAAGGAGGUACCAUUGUAACACCAUGCAGUUUUGGCAGUCUUCCCAUAGUGCUUGCUAUUUAUAUCUUUACAGAUAGAUUGAUUAUGCACUACGAUGCUUGACUUCUCAGGCGGGAACCUUCCGAUGCAAUGUGGUGAUUACCAGGGUUUCACAUUUGAAAAAAUGGUGGGCUACCUUCUGUGCAGACUGCCAUCACAUGUCCAUGCCAGCUACAACAUCGCUUACCCAGCCAGAUGUUUAUAUGUGCUCUCGUCGAUCUUGUUCAUGCACUAGCGCUACAAUUGGAUGAGAACAAUUCAAUGUUAUAUCAAUCAAUGGUCAUUUGCUCUCCCUGCUCAUUUCAUCUAUGUUAAUGUUCAGGUACACAUUGUUUGUCCAUCUAUGUUAAUGUCCAUCUACAUUUGUUUCCUUCGGUGGAUCUCCAGCUCAGUUUCCCCUUUCCAGUCAGCGCCGCCUCUAGGGUUUCACCUUCUCACCCUCCUGGUGAGUUUCUUCUGCUUUCGAUCCGCUUGUCUAGGUCGAUGUCCUCGGACGAUGUAUCCAACUUGUUUGCUUCGUGGUCUUGCUUCUCUCUUCUGUUGUUGGUGUGUUCCUUACAUUAUUAGUUUUGUUAGGGAUUGCCUUGAAGAACUUUUGAUUUAUGUCGAUCUAGAGCAACAAUGUAUUGAUUCUUGUCUUGCUAUAGCAUCUGUGAUCUAAUUGCCGCCCUCUUGUUGUUGCUCUUGCUAGAUGUCUUGUCUGGCUCUGUCCGAUCUACGUGCUGGUUGGGACAAACAGACCGUGUGCGUCCGUGUGUCUCGCCUAUGGCAUUACCGUGGUGGUUUAGAGAAUGGACCUGUCAAGCUUCUGCACAUGAUCCUCAUCGACGCUCAUGUGCGAUCCAGGACUCUUUAGAAAUGUAUCGCUUUUGUUUUGUGUUAGUCUAUGUCUGAUGCAGCACGAAACUGUUAUAGGGUAACCAUGGCUAUGCAGUUGUUCCGACAGAUUUUCUUGUCACUUAUAUUGAUAUGCUGCAUGAAGGCGUGGUGUAUGAGUUCAGUCGUUUCAGCGUGAUGUCUUCAUCAUGAACCCGGUCGAUGCGUCGUUGAUGAUCCAAUUUACACAAUUUACAAUUGUGAAGAAUUUUUUCGAUCUGAACGACGUAUUUCCGGAGUGGGCAUUCAACCUGACCCCACUAAAUGAAUUACCCCUUGCAAAUGAUACUCCCCAAGCCUACAUAGGUGACACAUAUUACACUCCUUGUCUCUUCUUAUGAUCUAUGAUAUGAUGUUCGGUGGACACCUCUGUACACUAAAUUAUAGUUUGCGCAUUUACUUGUGUAGAUGUUAUCUGGGUUAUCACGGCGAUUUCUCCUGUGAAAGCCACUCGGGUGCCCAAUACUCUUAGACAAGUAUUCAGGCGCCGUCUGAUCCUCUCUGACAAUAAGUAUGUAAUCUGAUCUGUUAUAUUUGACUGUCGUUCUCUUUUUCCUGUUGUCCAUUUUAUUAAAAAAGCUUAUAUUGAAUCCUCUUCUGCCAUUUUAUUCUCAUCUUACAUUAGUGGCCACGAACUUGGAAUAACCCUUUGGGGUGAGAGUGCUAUUCGAUUUAAUGGAGAGAGUGUGCAUUUCAUGGGUCAAACAGACCCGGCUAUCGUUAUCUUUGUCGGCACCACCGUUUGUAUGUAUGAAGGUGACUAGGAAACAACCCGAUGAAUGUGCUUGCUUGUUUCCCGCUGCCUUCGAUUUAUUUAAUGGUAUUAUUAUUUGUCAUGAGCUAGGGUCCAAGGAAUUAUCUGGUGGAUGUGCUUGCAAAUGAUAUGUUAACCAUGAUAUACCAGAGAUAAACAUAUUUAGGAGCAGGUGAGGGCCACGGUCUAUUCAUACGGCGUUUGUUUUCUCUAUUUUGUACUCAAGUAUUGUAUUCUCUCUGCUUCUUAGGCUCCCAGUCAUCUUCCCUGCCAUUGAGCAUCUUCCUGCACCGUCGAAGAUUAUUCUCCAGGUCCAACAUGCCGAUGUGCAUCCAAUGGUGUUAUUGACCCACCUCAUAAACAUCAACUUAUAUCAAAAGGAGGUACCAUUGUAACACCAUGCAGUUUUGGCAGUCUUCCCAUAGUGCUUGCUAUUUAUAUCUUUACAGAUAGAUUGAUUAUGCACUACGAUGCUUGACUUCUCAGGCGGGAACCUUCCGAUGCAAUGUGGUGAUUACCAGGGUUUCACAUUUGAAAAAAUGGUGGGCUACCUUCUGUGCAGACUGCCAUCACAUGUCCAUGCCAGCUACAACAUCGCUUACCCAGCCAGAUGUUUAUAUGUGCUCUCGUCGAUCUUGUUCAUGCACUAGCGCUACAAUUGGAUGAGAACAAUUCAAUGUUAUAUCAAUCAAUGGUCAUUUGCUCUCCCUGCUCAUUUCAUCUAUGUUAAUGUUCAGGUACACAUUGUUUGUCCAUCUAUGUUAAUGUCCAUCUACAUUUGUUUCCUUCGGUGGAUCUCCAGCUAAGUUUCCCCUUUCCAGUCAGCGCCGCCUCUAGGGUUUCACCUUCUCACCCUCCUGGUGAGUUUCUUCUGCUUUCGAUCCGCUUGUCUAGGUCGAUGUCCUCGGACGAUGUAUCCAACUUGUUUGCUUCGUGGUCUUGCUUCUCUCUUCUGUUGUUGGUGUGUUCCUUACAUUAUUAGUUUUGUUAGGGAUUGCCUUGAAGAACUUUUGAUUUAUGUCGAUCUAGAGCAACAAUGUAUUGAUUCUUGUCUUGCUAUAGCAUCUGUGAUCUAAUUGCCGCCCUCUUGUUGUUGCUCUUGCUAGAUGUCUUGUCUGGCUCUGUCCGAUCUACGUGCUGGUUGGGACAAACAGACAGUGUGCGUCCGUGUGUCUCGCCUAUGGCAUUACCGUGGUGGUUUAGAGAAUGGACCCGUCAAGCUUCUGCACAUGAUCCUCAUCGACGCUCAUGUGUGAUCCAGGACUCUUUAGAAAUGUAUCGCUUUUGUUUUGUGUUAGUCUAUGUCUGAUGCAGCACGAAACUGUUAUAGGGUAACCAUGGCUAUGCAGUUGUUCCGACAGAUUUUCUUGUCACUUAUAUUGAUAUGCUGCAUGAAGGCGUGGUGUAUGAGUUCAGUCGUUUCAGCGUGAUGUCUUCAUCAUGAACCCGGUCGAUGCGUCGUUGAUGAUCCAAUUUACACAAUUUACAAUUGUGAAGAAUUUUUUCGAUCUGAACGACGUAUUUCCGGAGUGGGCAUUCAACCUGACCCCACUAAAUGAAUUACCCCUUGCAAAUGAUACUCCCCAAGCCUACAUAGGUGACACAGAUUACACUCCUUGUCUCUUCUUAUGAUCUAUGAUAUGAUGUUCGGUGGACACCUCUGUACACUAAAUUAUAGUUUGCGCAUUUACUUGUGUAGAUGUUAUCUGGGUUAUCACGGCGAUUUCUCCUGUGAAAGCCACUCGGGUGCCCAAUACUCUUAGACAAGUAUUCAGGCGUCGUCUGAUCCUCUCUGACAAUAAGUAUGUAAUCUGAUCUGUUAUAUUUGACCGUCGUUCUCUUUUUCCUGUUGUCCAUUUUAUUAAAAAAGCUUAUAUUGAAUCCUCUUCUGCCAUUUUAUUCUCAUCUUACAUUAGUGGCCACGAACUUGGAAUAACCCUUUGGGGUGAGAGUGCUAUUCGAUUUAAUGGAGAGAGUGUGCAUUUCAUGGGUCAAACAGACCCGGCUAUCGUUAUCUUUGUCGGCACCACCGUUUGUAUGUAUGAAGGUGACUAGGAAACAACCCGAUGAAUGUGCUUGCUUGUUUCCCGCUGCCUUCGAUUUAUUUAAUGGUAUUAUUAUUUGUCAUGAGCUAGGGUCCAAGGAAUUAUCUGGUGGAUGUGCUUGCAAAUGAUAUGUUAACCAUGAUAUACCAGAGAUAAACAUAUUUAGGAGCAGGUGAGGGCCACGGUCUAUUCAUACGGCGUUUGUUUUCUCUAUUUUGUACUCAAGUAUUGUAUUCUCUCUGCUUCUUAGGCUCCCAGUCAUCUUCCCUGCCAUUGAGCAUCUUCCUGCACCGUCGAAGAUUAUUCUCCAGGUCCAACAUGCCGAUGUGCAUCCAAUGGUGUUAUUGACCCACCUCAUAAACAUCAACUUAUAUCAAAAGGAGGUACCAUUGUAACACCAUGCAGUUUUGGCAGUCUUCCCAUAGUGCUUGCUAUUUAUAUCUUUACAGAUAGAUUGAUUAUGCACUACGAUGCUUGACUUCUCAGGCGGGAACCUUCCGAUGCAAUGUGGUGAUUACCAGGGUUUCACAUUUGAAAAAAUGGUGGGCUACCUUCUGUGCAGACUGCCAUCACAUGUCCAUGCCAGCUACAACAUCGCUUACCCAGCCAGAUGUUUAUAUGUGCUCUCGUUGAUCUUGUUCAUGCACUAGCGCUACAAUUGGAUGAGAACAAUUCAAUGUUAUAUCAAUCAAUGGUCAUUUGCUCUCCCUGCUCAUUUCAUCUAUGUUAAUGUUCAGGUACACAUUGUUUGUCCUUGCGAAAGAUCGAAGUGGAGAGGCUGAAUUUGAAUUGUUUGGCACAAAGGCUCAACAAAUCAUCGAUCGAUCUGCUAGCCAGGUCCUUCGCAACAGCACUCACAUGGCCCUGCUAUUCCCAAUGUUCAUGUAGUGGCCUCAAUGCUAAGGAAAACCCCGCCUGAACUCAGUGGUCUCCUUUCCAUGAGAUGUAAGUUUGUUGUUCGUGCAUCGCCUGAAAGUUUCUUCGGAAGGUGGCCGAUGUUCCAUGUCGAUGCUAUUGAGUCCUUUGAGCCCGUCAAAUCGAACCUCUCUAUGAUAGAUUUGCUUACGCCAUCAUGAAGUGAUGCACGCAAGGAACUUCUUAUGAGAUCAGUGUGGAUGUUCCCUAGAGUUGAUUUUCGGUCUCCUGAGUGAUCUCUAGAUCUUUUGAUAAUGAACCUUUUUAUUAGUAGGAUUGUAAAUAUAUCGGUUCUGUAAACAGUAUUGUAUUAACUAUGACACUAUGGUCUUUUACCUUGGGACUAGGCUGCUGUUGAAAACAUGGUUAAAUAUAAUGUUCAUGUGCGUUUCCUUUCACUUAAAGAUCAGUCUAUUCACUUGACUGUAUG